Ostrea edulis (European flat oyster) is the source of this 384-nucleotide long non-coding RNA. RefSeq lists it as uncharacterized. Lineage: Eukaryota; Metazoa; Mollusca; Bivalvia; Ostreida; Ostreidae. The transcript has 3 exons. The record is from RefSeq and is a predicted model, not a curated record.
UACGAACCCGAAGGACACAGUGAGCAUGAAUUCGAUUGAGCAUGCGUACCUGGUGGACAGACGACUGCAACACACACAUGUGAAAUGAGAAUACUACACGUCUUCUAAUGAUCUAGAGCAAGAGAAAUAACGGGAGGAUUUACAACAUAAAUCAUAGAUACUUCGAAUUCCUUUAAACACAAGACACACCUAAUAAUGUGAAUGGGGAAUAAAGUGAGAACUCUAUGUACUACACGUACCUGGGACGUUUACAUCAACUGAACAGGGAAUGCCAUCGGGAUCUGGAACUGGGCUAUUGCAAAGACGAGAUCGCGAUUUAUGCCCCCCUCCACAAGACGCUGAACAUUCACUGUACGACCCCCAGGCGCUCCAUCCACCAUUAAC